UCCCAAGUAGCUGGGACUACAGGCAUGUGCCACCAUACCCAGUUUCUGAAUACUAAGUUCCCUGAAGGACAACCAGCUUAAUCAAGAUGAUUUCUCAAGAUCUCAGCAAAUUCCUCUUAUGAUGAGUCGGAGUGUCCGCGGUGAGAAAUGGCUGUCAAAUGGGAGAAAAGCUGGUCAGAGCCUAACCUACCUCAGCAUCUGUCUCCUGGCAUUCUUGCUACUCAGUACACUCUGCAAACUUCUGAACUGUACAGAACAGCAUUUGGGAUUUACUACUGAUGGCCUUAAAGCACUGCAGGGUCCUGCAAUAUCUUCUGAAAUAAGAAUAAAUUUAUUUGGCAUA
Non-coding RNA from Microcebus murinus (gray mouse lemur), 343 nucleotides. Lineage: Eukaryota; Metazoa; Chordata; Mammalia; Primates; Cheirogaleidae. The record is from RefSeq and is a predicted model, not a curated record.